Long non-coding RNA from Onychostoma macrolepis, 984 nucleotides. RefSeq lists it as uncharacterized. Lineage: Eukaryota; Metazoa; Chordata; Actinopteri; Cypriniformes; Cyprinidae. The transcript is spliced from 5 exons. The record is from RefSeq and is a predicted model, not a curated record.
GUUUUAACUUAUUAACAGCAAACUAACAUUAUUCAUGGUGUCGUUUUUCAUGUCUGGAGUUGGGGCCUUUUUUUUCUGACUGACGGCCGGAUUAACGCCGCCAUAACGGUGAUAACAUCGACUGUCUAGAUUUUGUCUGCAACGUCGGAGGUGUAUUUUGGAGCCUCUUUUUGUGAAUGCCAUAGUGUCGAUGAUAACAUCAACUGUUUGUGAUCUUGUGGUCAUGUCGUCUGCAUCGGAGGAGUAUUGGAGUCUUUUCCUGUGAUUGCCGUCGUAACAGGAGAUUUCUCCAAGCAAAAACAGGAUGCUGAUUAUGAGGACAGAAUCAUCAUACAGCCAGCUGUUCGUUUUACAGAAAUGCAGAAUUAGGUUCAUUCAGAUCUUUGUGGCACCAAAUGCAUUGAAAGUCACAGGUCAGCUGGAAUUCUGGAAAGAGGGUGCCAAGAAAAAGAAUCUGCCUAAAUCCCAUCCUGCUGUUUCUCAUCGGAGAGCUUGUCAACUUUGACUGUCAAAAUUACUGAAAUUUAACACAACAACACAAACUCAUAUUUACUGUAUUAUUUGAUUUUUAUUAACACUACCAGUCAAAAGUUUUUGAACAGUAAGAUUUUUAAUGCUUUUAAAGAAGCCUCUUCUGCUCACCAAGCCUGCAUUUAUUUGAUCCAAAGUACAGCAAAAACAGUACAAUUUUGAAAUAUGUUUUACUAUUUAAAAUAAAUGUUUUCUAUUUGAAUAUAUUUUAAAAUGUAAUUUAUUCCUGUGAUCAAAGCUGAAUUUUUAACAUCAUUACUCCAGUCUUCAGUGUCACAUGAACCUUCAGAAAUCAUUCUAUUAUUCUGAUUUGCUGCUCAAAAAAACUAUUAUUAUUAUUAUUAUGUUGAAAACAGCUGAGUCUAAUUUUUUCAGGUUUCCUUGAUGAAUAGAAAGUUUAGAACAGCAUUUAUCUGAAAUAUAAAUAUUUUGUAACAUUAUGAAUGUCUUUAU